UAAGAGACAAUUGUUAAAUACAGACACACAUAGAAGGUAAGACACUACUGUUAGACAUACAUGGAAGGUAAGAGACUUUUGAUAAACACAGACACACAUGGAAGGUAAGAGACAAUUGUUAAACACAGACAAACAUGGAAGGUAAUAGACAUUUGUGAUACACAGACAAACGUGGAAGGAAAGAGGCUAUUGUUAGAUACAAGCAAACAUGGAAGGUAAGAGACAAUUGUUAAACACAGACAAACAUGGGAGGUAAGUUACUUUUUGUGUGUACAUAGGCACAUGAAAGGUAUGUAAAUGGUACGGUAUGACAUCAAUAUUCCAGAAAACACAUACAAGAUAUUUAGUCAGGUGGUCACUUAUUACAUUGAAUACCAGACUUUUGGAUCCCACUGUAUAACAGUGUAUUAUUAUUGUCUUUCAGAGGAGGUUUAUGUACAUGAGGGAGAGAGAAGGUGCAGGGGAGAGGGAGAACACUAGUUUCUGGCCAGAGUUGAAAAAGUUUUGGAAGUCAGUCGAGGAAGAGCAGACAGAGGAGAAGUGGAGGGGGAUAGAGGAGAGUGACAGUCGGAGGGUUGCACGUGCACGUGCAGCCCUCCGAGACAGGGAAACUUGAAUUUAUUGUAAAAAUAGAAAAAAUACAUUGAACAUAAGA
This is a long non-coding RNA of Mercenaria mercenaria, 655 nucleotides long. RefSeq lists it as uncharacterized. The transcript is spliced from 2 exons. NCBI's taxonomy places the organism in Eukaryota, Metazoa, Mollusca, Bivalvia, Venerida, Veneridae. The record is from RefSeq and is a predicted model, not a curated record.